ACCCACCGCCGCCAACCUACCUACCGCUGCCAAUCUACCUACCACUGCCAAUCUAUCUAUCACUGCUAAUCUAUCGCUGCUAAUCUAUUGCUGCUAAUCUAUUGCUGCUAAUCUAUUGCUGCUAAUCUAUCGCUGCUAAUCUAUCGCCGCCAACCUACCUACCGCUGCCAACCUAUCUACCACUGCCAAUCUAUCUAUCGCUGCCAACCUAUAUAGAGUAAAUCAUGGUCCCAUUUGGUCCCAUUUUGUAAAAUGGGACCAAAUGGGACCAGAAUCACUAAUUUAUUAGUAAAACAUGAUCUGGGACUAGAUUUAUAAUAUAAACAGUGUAAAGUGACUAAUUUGCUAAACACUAUAUGGGACCAGGACUAAGAUAUCUAAUAAUGGAACUGAGGAAAAAUUUGGUCCCAGUCCCAUGCAUGGUCACACGGCCAGUCUAUCUGAAAUGCUUCAAGCAGAUUGAAAAACUAGAGCUUAUUCAGUUGUAUAUCUUGAAGAAA
RNAcentral lists this small RNA (500 nucleotides) under Histoplasma capsulatum. Its description in RNAcentral is "hypothetical RNA". The record is from RNAcentral. RNAcentral also lists the same sequence under 1 other name. Lineage: Eukaryota; Fungi; Ascomycota; Eurotiomycetes; Onygenales; Ajellomycetaceae.